Mustela lutreola (European mink) is the source of this 5972-nucleotide long non-coding RNA. RefSeq lists it as uncharacterized. The transcript is spliced from 3 exons. Lineage: Eukaryota; Metazoa; Chordata; Mammalia; Carnivora; Mustelidae. The record is from RefSeq and is a predicted model, not a curated record.
AAAAAAAAAAAAGGACUGCAGCUCCAAUCUUGGCAGUACUCUGCAGAGCUCUCUAGUGUUUAUACUCUCUAGUCUAAAGCCGUGGUUCUUAAUGGAGGUUGACUUCGCAAGGAACAAUGGGCAAAACUUGGAAAUAUUUGGGGAGAGGGCAGUAUUACCAGUGUCUCAUGUACAGGCCAGAAAUGCAACUAAACAUCCUAGAAAGCAUCAGAGAACCUCCGCAACAAAGAAUCAUCCAGACCAAUAUGGCCAUUGCAACAAGGUUCAGAAACCCUGGUUUAACCCACAAUAGAUAACAGACUCAGAAAAUGAUUAACUUUCAUGAUACCCAGAAACUGAGAAAAAGAAGCCACCAAAAGGUAUCGAAAUGGAAACUAGAGCUAAACUGAGGGGAAAAAAAUUACCCUCGUGUCAUUCUAUGAAAUAAAGACUCCCAUGGUGGGGGUGGGGGGUUGUGUUGAUACAGUCAGGAAUGGGGAAGGCAUUAUAUUUUUCUCACCACCUGUGUGCUGUCUCAGAGUACCACUGUUUGGUCAACGAAAGACUGAAUUUCCAUCCAUGUCUAUCUACUGAGACCUGUGCUAAUGGGCACCCAUCCUUCAGUGCAACCAUCUUUGCACGUUGAAGCAGGUGCUGUAAGAAGAUAGGACACAUGUGUGUUUGGGGAAACAUGGAGGGGGGACCAAAAAAGAGAGCAGAGUUAUACUGGCAAAGAUCCUUCUGUGACAUCAGGCAUUAAGUCAAGUAAAUGGAAGUAGAGCAGGAAUUUUUUUCAGAUUCCAUGUGUCCUGGGAAUAGUGUCUUGUUUUAAAAAUUUGUAACAGUGUUAGCUAAUCAUAGGACAGGCAGUAAUGACUGGAGGAAGAUGCCCCCUUGUGACUGUAUUCUAGAAGAGUAUCUUUUUAUUGGGUGUUUAACAAAGAUAGUCUCCCACAUACAGAGGCUGGAAAAAUAAACUACCUUGUACGUUUGUUUGAGUAGAAUUACCUGAAGAUGGAGUUUAGGAUAGAAAAGUCCUAGCAGUAGACAUUGCAAACAAUUGAAACACCAUAUCUGUAAAUAAAUGUUGCAAAUCUGGUUACAACACGAGAUACAGAUUGGAAAAAAAAAAAAAAUGUAAGCACACGUUAUUUUAUGUGUUUCAUCUCAUUUGAGCCUGCCAUAAAUUCUGAAAUAAAUAUCACAGUCACACCAUUUUUAUAGGUAAAGUAAUAGGACUUAUAAAGGUAUCCACAGAAUCAAAAAAUAUAAAUGGUUUACUGCUAUUACCUUUUGAUGCAUAGCAGGUUCAGUGUGCUGUGCUUUGAUAGCAAUGCAGUCUUGCAGUGAGGCGGCCCAUGAAGUUAUCAUUUGUGUCAAUCUCUCAUUUGUUUGCCCUCAGAUAAUUUAGUAUCUGAUUUCUGAAGGAUAAACCUAAGCCUUGACAAACCCCAGAGGAAGGCCUCAAAAGGAGUUCUGAUCUGGUAGUCUACUCCACACAACGCCAUCAGCCAACAUAGUUCUGGAGACUCUCCAACGAGUCCCAUGUGGUAGUGUGCCGGCCUGCUGGAACCGCUCCAGUCACCCUGCCCCAAGUCUGUCAUGUGCAGGCACUGACUGGUCAUUUGACAUGAUGAAAUUCAUCUCUUCAGACAUGUAGCUUCAAAGAAAAUGGUCCCAAGACUCAUGUUUUGCACAGGUCACAUCACACCAUCACCUUUGCCUUGUGUUUGGGUGGCUGAAGUCCAGUGGAAGUUGUCUUGAUUGUCUCCUGACCCAAUGAGGCAUCUACUGUUCGUUGGCCUUCCUGUUCAUAUGAAAAGUACCUUGGUCUCAAAACAAUCUUGGGAAAAGCAGGUGUUCUUAUGCAGGAGAUCCGAGCAUCAGGAGCACGUUUCCAAACAACAAUUGGGGUUGUCCUUGGCUAAACUUUGCAGGAUUUGCAUCUUGAACUGGCAAAAGGCACAUGCAUUGACAAUCUUACAUGUGGUACUGCUAAGCACCCCAAGCUUCUAGAAUGGUCUGUAGGCUGACUUUCUUCAGGCUGGCCUUAGGCUCACAGUGACCAUCUCCUUUACUUCUUCAGAAACAGUCAUCCACAAAGGAGUGUGCCCCACACAUUGCCUAUAUCCUUGAAUUUGUGAACCAGCUUUUCAAAGGUGCAUGGGAGAUGUUAUUUCUUCCAGAAGGACAUGCAUUGAAGGACUCUGUAGAUCCACCAGCCGUGUGUCCCCUCAGAAGUAGUGGCUUAAUGUGUUCAUCUUUCAUUAUCUUCAAUCUGUAAAAAAUAAAAUACUAUCAUCUUUGUUUCUAAAUACUACACUCAAGGUCAAGGCUUGAACCAAACUCUGUGAUUUCCAACAUAAUUCUAGAGUUUGCUGUGCUAAUAACAAAUAAUAAUGAUGGCAAAAGUCUUAAAAAAAAAAGGCAUGUUCUUUCUUAUCUCUUUUCUUUUUUCUACCAGUGUGUGAAAUACAAAAGAAUCAGUAAGGAUAACUAAUUUCCUACUGACAAAGUAUACCGCUAUCACUGUCAUUUGGAGGCAGCUUUAACUAUGGUUACUUUAUAAAUUUUAUUUUUAAGAUUAUCAUACAGUAAAACUGACUUCUUCUGUGUACAGUUUCAUGGAUUCAGACACCUGUAACAGAUUCACAUAACUACAACCAAAAUCAGUAUAUAGAACAGGUCCACUCACUCCAAAAAACUCUCUCUGUAGUUAUGCCCUCUCCUUACUCUUAACCCCCAGGCAACCCACUUCUCUGUUUUAUAAUACUAUAGUUUUAUCUUUUUGAGGAUCAUAUAAAUGAAUCAUACAGCAUGUAUUUUUUGGAGACUGUUUUUUUUUUUUUCACCUAGCAUAAUAACUUUGAGAUUCUUCUGAGUUUGUAUACAGGUUUUUGUGUAAACUUAAGAUUUCAUUUAUUUAGGCUAAAUACUCAAGGAUGGGAUUACUAGAUCAUAUUUAAUGUCAUAAGAAACUGCCCAAAUGUUUUCAGAGUGGUACACAUACCAUUUCUCAUUUGUGAUAGAAACAGAAAUGUGUGAGAGUUCUAGUGGCGAUGCAUCCCUUCCAGCAUUUAUUACUGUGUGUAUUACGGGGCGAGGAGGCAGGGCGGAGGACCUCUAUUGUAUAUAUAUUACCAUUCAAGUACGUAUGUGAUGCUAUCUCAUCAUGGCUUUGAUUUGCAUUGCCAAAUGGUCAGUGAUGUUGAACAUCUUACUCCUUCUUCGUUACUGAAAUUGUGGGUUUCCUGCUGCCUGAAGAACUUCUGCUCUGAAUUUUUGUAGAGCAGAUCUGCUGGCACAAAUCUUCGUUAUCUUUGAUCUGAAAAUGUGUUUAUUUCAUCCUAAUUCCUGAAGGCUAUUUUGUUGAAGAUGUAUACUAUAUUUAUAGAUACAGGUUGUAUAAAGUUCUAUAAAUAUAGAUAUAUAGUAGAUCAAUAGAUAUAGAUUUACUCACAUAUGUAAUUAUAAAAUUAUGUAUAAUUAUAGAUUGAUAGUCCUCCCCCUUUCUCUAUUGCCUUGAGUCUACUAUUGGGCCCAUUUAGGAAAUUUUAAAUUUCAGUUCUUGUAUAUUUCAGUUCUCAUAUUUUCAUUUGAUUCUUCUUAAUAUCUUCUAUUUGCUGGAAUAAUCUAUUUUUCCAUUUGUCUCAAGAGUGUUUAUAGUUUUGAGAUAUCUGUAUACCUUCUUUAAAGUCCUUGUGAUGUAAUUCCAAUUACAUAGUCCUAAUAUCUACCAUUAUCCUCCACGCAAGUUGUGAUUUCUUUUUUUAUAUGGUGAGUAAAUUUUUUUAAAUUUUUUAAUAAAAAUAUAAUGUAUUAUUAGCCCCAGGGAUACAGGUCUGUGAAUUGCCAGGUUUACACACUUCACAGCUCUAUAUGGUGAGUAAUUUUUAAUUAUAUCCUGAAUAUUUUAAAUAUGUUAUGUGAUUCUGGAUCUUGUUUAAAUCCCUUAGAAAGUGUUGAUGUUUUCAUUUUAGUUGGCAGUUAACCUUAGAAGUUUCAGGCCACAAGAUCCAACCAGACUUUUAUGUGUGCUAGUUCCAAUGUUAGUUCAGAUUUCAAAGUUUUUGCAAUGCUAUUAGACCUUCUGCUAGUGUGAGCUCCCCAGGGGUCAGUCUGGAACCUGUGUAGCAUUCAGUUACUCAUGAAGAUCAAGUCCAUGCAUAAGCAGCCUAGAAGACCCAAGCCCUUUGCUUCCCAUGAUUGCCCAUUUAUAUUCCCAAUUUCUGGGGCUCCCCUCUUCAGUACUCUGCCCAAAAAACUGAUAAUUUAGUUAUCCUACUCUCCUGCACCCUUCUGGGACUACAUCUGAAUUUGGGCCAAAUGGCAGGAGGACAGAGAAAGGUUUCCCCACAUCCUCCUGGAUUUUCAGCUCUGUUGAGAGAGAGAAUCUCCUCCAGUGUUUGGCCCCUGCAAUUUCUGUUUGCACUGCAGCCGCUGAAGUCACUGCAGCCACCACGAGAUUGCCUGAGGUUUGGGAAGCAUGAAAGCAGAGGGGAAAACACUCUGUCUCUGCACCAAUGCCUGUCUACUUCGGGGUUUCAGACUGUUGCAUUCCACCUGGGGAAUCCUGGAGGGGAAAAAAAUGAUAGUGCUGAGGAGAUCGUACAGAGGAUGUGACUGUUGGUUGACCUUGAGCCAGACCCAGACAACUGGAGGCUGCCUACCACAUCCCCUGCCCUUGGAAUGUAUCUUCUGGCCACCAUUCCCACAGCAGGAAGCAUAUUCAAGGAGGCAGCCUUGAGAGAACAAUGUGUUGUUGAGACCAUCUGGAUGAGGCUGUGGCUGGAGUUACCUAGAGCGUCAACCGACCAGGACAUCCAAGAUGGCUUCCCCACUCACAAGUGUGAAACUCAGUGCAUUUCCAUGUAGUUCUCUUUCCAAAAGAAAAGCCCCGACUUUUGACAUGGUGGCUCGCAGCUUCAGCAGGCAAGAAGCAGAACCACUGAGCCUGUUAAGAGUGAUGACUGGAGAUGGCAUGCCAUCACUUCAGCCAUACUCUAAUGGUCAAGCAGACAGAAAGUCUAUCUAAUCUUAAGGGAGUGGAGAAAGAGACUCUACCUCUUGACUGGGAAGCAGUGAGUUCAACACUGCAGAAAAUUACGUGGAAUGAAAAUUAUUAUCGUGGACCUCUUCAGAAAAUAUACUCGGUCACUCAGUAUUAGAAGCAAAUCUAUCGCUUUGAAGGAUCUCAUACCUAUUCUUCAACUUGCCAGCCUCAUAACUAAGGAUUCUAAGCCUUCAAAGAGCUUUAAUGUACUCAGUGGGUCUUAAGCUGAUGUAAAGUCUGAAAAAAAAUGGGAACUUCUCUCUUAUUUCACUACUUGAUAAAGGACCAAUUUCAGUAGCUUAAUUUAUCCCUUAUGGAAUGUGAUUUGAUCUCAGACUUACAGUGUUUGCAAACUUGAAGAGUUUAAAAUGAAAUAACAUACUCCACUAACUUCUGUUCAUCCUGUUAAUCUGUGCCUUGUUUUCUUCUAGCCAGAUGUUUCUUAUACUUCAUUUGCCUAACAAUAUUCAGACUAGGAAACGAUUCUAGCAUUAAAAUGAUGCACCAAGCAUACCCACAUUUAUUUUCCAUAUCCUUGGCUCUUUCUAGAUCUGUCUUGCAUUUUUCAACAUCCUUAAUGUCUAUUGAACCCAGAUGGAAUCUAAGUUUGCCAGGAAAGAAAGAAAACCAAACAUGCGCCAGUAUUUUAUAUUCUUCCAUGGUAUAUGGAAAAGGUCUGAAGAUACAAUAUGCUCUUUAAAAUCAUGCACACUAGGCAUUUAGUUGAAGAAAGUGUGGAGUCAACUUCUGAAAUGGCCCCCCAUGGCCCCUAAUGACCUCUGCCUCCUGAUAUCCCAUGGCAUUUUGUAAUUAUUUCCCUUUGAAUGUGGGUUGGACAUAAUGAACUUACUUCCAACAAAUAAAAUAUGACAAAGUGUUGGGAUGUCACUGUCAAGAUUAGGUUUCAGAAGACUCUAUUUUCCAUUUUUUCACUCUCUUU